AUCACCAUGCUUCCUGUACGUAUCCUGUUCCUGUACUCCCAGACCAGCGUGCUUGAUUCUACUCCCAGCUCUGGAAGGGAGAGCAAAGCCCAGAGAUCCACUCCUCCUGUCGUAGGCAAACCAUCAUAAACAGCAACUGAAAAUGGAAUUGAUGAGCUGGGAGGAAACAGUUGCUUUGGAGAAAUG
Terrapene triunguis (Three-toed box turtle) is the source of this 186-nucleotide long non-coding RNA. RefSeq lists it as uncharacterized. NCBI's taxonomy places the organism in Eukaryota, Metazoa, Chordata, Testudines, Emydidae. The record is from RefSeq and is a predicted model, not a curated record. The transcript is spliced from 3 exons.